UUGAAAAUAGCUUUAAAUGCUUCUCCAUCCAGUUCUUCAGAGAGCUACUAUCAACAGAUUGAGUUGACAGGAAAAAGUCAUAAUCCAGGCCAAAGUGAGCAAACUCCCAAGAGCAUUCCUGGUCAGCACCGCAGCAAAUCCGUGGCAAGUGCAGGUAAUUCAUUCUCAUGACAGUGUCCAGAGAGUAGGGCUAAAAUGAAAACAGCGGUGAGUGAUGUGGUGCUGCUUCACCUUUUUCACUGGGGAAAUAUGAAUAUAAGAGAAAGUAAUUUGUGCAGAAGUAAAAUGGAGGUGUCUUUAGUUUGUGAAAAUCCCUGGUGCCCCUAGUCAUUCCUCUAUACCAUGAAACUCCCACAGUUACUAUGCCCUAAAGAAACAUUAUUUGGACUGGCUAAACAUAGGACUGAAAAAGAAAAAGAAAAAAAAGGCAAACAGUGAAGGGUGAAGGAACCAUAGCCUCAAGAUUGC
Homo sapiens (human) is the source of this 468-nucleotide long non-coding RNA. Ensembl annotates it as long intergenic non-protein coding RNA 2994. NCBI's taxonomy places the organism in Eukaryota, Metazoa, Chordata, Mammalia, Primates, Hominidae. The record is from Ensembl.